This 468-nucleotide ribosomal RNA is filed under the name uncultured bacterium. RNAcentral describes it as "partial 16S ribosomal RNA". It matches the Rfam family "Bacterial small subunit ribosomal RNA", at positions 28 to 507 of the family's 1533-position model. The record is from RNAcentral.
GACGAACGCUGGCGGCGUGCUUAACACAUGCAAGUCGAACGGAAAGGCCCUGCUUUUGUGGGGUGCUCGAGUGGCGAACGGGUGAGUAACACGUGAGUAACCUGCCCUUGACUUUGGGAUAACUUCAGGAAACUGGGGCUAAUACCGGAUAGGAGCUCCUGCUGCAUGGUGGGGGUUGGAAAGUUUCGGCGGUUGGGGAUGGACUCGCGGCUUAUCAGCUUGUUGGUGGGGUAGUGGCUUACCAAGGCUUUGACGGGUAGCCGGCCUGAGAGGGUGACCGGCCACAUGGGGACUAAGAUACGGCCCAGACUCCUACGGGAGGCAGCAGUGGGAAAUAUUGCGCAAUGGGCGGAAGCCUGAUGCAGCGACGCCGCGUGCGGAAUGACGGCUUUCGGGUUGUAAACCGCUUUCGCCUGAGACGAAGCGUGAGUGACGGUAAUGGGUAAAGAAGCACCGGCUAACUACGUG